CGAACGGGUGAGUAAUGCAUCGGAAUGUACCGUGUAAUGGGGGAUAGCUCGGCGAAAGCCGGAUUAAUACCGCAUACGCCCUGAGGGGGAAAGUGGGGGACCGUAAGGCCUCACGUUAUACGAGCAGCCGAUGUCUGAUUAGCUAGUUGGUGAGGUAAGAGCUCACCAAGGCGACGAUCAGUAGCGGGUCUGAGAGGAUGAUCCGCCACACUGGGACUGAGACACGGCCCAGACUCCUACGGGAGGCAGCAGUGGGGAAUUUUGGACAAUGGGCGCAAGCCUGAUCCAGCCAUGCCGCGUGUCUGAAGAAGGCCUUCGGGUUGUAAAGGACUUUUGUUCGGGAGGAAAUCCCGCUGGUUAAUACCUGGCGGGGAUGACAGUAC
Molecule: ribosomal RNA, 383 nt
Filed under: Chromobacterium sp. 12
Lineage: Bacteria; Pseudomonadati; Pseudomonadota; Betaproteobacteria; Neisseriales; Chromobacteriaceae
Description: bacterial SSU rRNA
Rfam family: Bacterial small subunit ribosomal RNA
Source: RNAcentral